GACGUAGGGCGCGAGCGGUGUCCGGAUUUAUUGGGCGUAAAGAGCUCGUAGGCGGUGUGUCACGUCGGCCGUGAAAACCUGCAGCUUAACUGUGGGCGUGCGGUCGAUACGGGCAUCACUGGAGUUCGGCAGGGGAGACUGGAAUUCCUGGUGUAGCGGUGAAAUGCGCAGAUAUCAGGAGGAACACCGGUGGCGAAGGCGGGUCUCUGGGCCGAUACUGACGCUGAGGAGCGAAAGCGUGGGGAGCAAACAGG
RNAcentral lists this ribosomal RNA (254 nucleotides) under uncultured bacterium. RNAcentral's name for it is "partial 16S ribosomal RNA". It matches the Rfam family "Bacterial small subunit ribosomal RNA", at positions 524 to 776 of the family's 1533-position model. The record is from RNAcentral.